AUUGAACGCUGGCGGCAUGCCUUACACAUGCAAGUCGAACGGCAGCACGGGUGCUUGCCCCUGGUGGCGAGUGGCGAACGGGUGAGUAAUACAUCGGAACAUGUCCUGUAGUGGGGGAUAGCCCGGCGAAAGCCGGAUUAAUACCGCCUACGAUCUACGGAUGACAGCGGGGGACCUUCGGGCCUCGCGCUAUCGGGUUGGCCGAUGGCUGAUUAGCUAGUUGGUGGGGUAAAGGCCUACCAAGGCGACGAUCAGUAGCUGGUCUGAGAGGACGACCAGCCACACUGGAACUGAGACACGGCCCAGACUCCUACGGGAGGCAGCAGUGGGGAAUUUUGGACAAUGGGCGAAAGCCUGAUCCAGCAAUGCCGCGUGUGUGAAGAAGGCCUUCGGGUUGUAAAGCACUUUUGUCCGGAAAGAAAUACUUGGCCCUAAUACGGUCGGGGGAUGACGGUACCGGAAGAAUAAGCACCGGCUAACUACGUG
RNAcentral lists this ribosomal RNA (486 nucleotides) under uncultured bacterium. RNAcentral's name for it is "partial 16S ribosomal RNA". It matches the Rfam family "Bacterial small subunit ribosomal RNA", at positions 30 to 507 of the family's 1533-position model. The record is from RNAcentral.